Molecule: small RNA, 29 nt
Filed under: Bombyx mori (domestic silkworm)
Lineage: Eukaryota; Metazoa; Arthropoda; Insecta; Lepidoptera; Bombycidae
Description: ovarian small RNA-19638
Source: RNAcentral
UAAUCAUUGAUCCUCGCUAUCAUCUGGUA